RNAcentral lists this unclassified non-coding RNA (348 nucleotides) under soil metagenome. RNAcentral describes it as "partial contains 5.8S ribosomal RNA, internal transcribed spacer 2, and large subunit ribosomal RNA". The stretch from base 1 to 120 matches the Rfam family "5.8S ribosomal RNA", at positions 35 to 154 of the family's 154-position model. The record is from RNAcentral.
GAUGAAGAACGCAGCGAAAUGCGAAAAGUAAUGUGAAUUGCAGAAUUCAGUGAACCAUCGAAUCUUUGAACGCACAUUGCGCCCGCUGGAACUCCGGCGGGCACGCCUGUCCGAGCGUCAUUUCAACCCUCAGGCCCCCCUUCGCGGGCGGGCCUGGUGUUGGGGCCCGGCCGCUACCCUGCGGCCGUCCCCUAAAUUCAGUGGCGGCCUCGCCGUGAUCCCUUGCGUAGUAAUGCACCUCGCACCGGAGAGCGCCGUGGCCACGCCGUAAAACCCCCAAUUUUCAAUGGUUGACCUCGGAUCAGGUGGGAAUACCCGCUGAACUUAAGCAUAUCAAUAAGCGGAGGA